RNAcentral lists this ribosomal RNA (292 nucleotides) under uncultured bacterium. Its description in RNAcentral is "partial 16S ribosomal RNA". It matches the Rfam family "Bacterial small subunit ribosomal RNA", at positions 505 to 796 of the family's 1533-position model. The record is from RNAcentral.
GUGCCAGCCGCCGCGGUAAUACGUAGGGGGCAAGCGUUGUCCGGAUUUAUUGGGCGUAAAGAGCGUGUAGGCGGCCGUGUAGGUCUGACGUGAAAUCUGGAGGCUCAACCUCCAGCUGUCGUUGGAAACCGCUCGGCUAGAGUCCGGAAGAGGAGAGUGGAAUUCCUGGUGUAGCGGUGAAAUGCGCAGAUAUCAGGAAGAACACCUAUGGCGAAGGCAGCUCUCUGGGACGGUACUGACGCUGAGACGCGAAAGCGUGGGGAGCGAACAGGAUUAGAAACCCCAGUAGUCC